GCAGAAAGCCAACAAGACAUAAGGCAGCUCGUGUGAGGCGAUCACGGAGGACUUGGUGGGACUAGCAAUGGCUGGUGAAAUCUACUCAGGUGCAAACAUCUACAAAGUUUCACUAGUGGCUGCUUGUGAGCUGGAUGCCAGACCAGCUUGACUUACUGGCAGUACACAGAAAUCAGCUUAACAUCUGGAAGUAAAGAUGUCCUCCACCACGCAUCCCGUUUCCGUGAGAUGUACUGCUGCCACAGGCCCCAAAGCAACCAGUGCAAAUGCACUUCCUGUCCUGCCACUUUGCGAGCCCUCCACUUCCUGCCCCGCCACUGUGCAAGCCCUCCAUCCACUGCCUGCCCCCGCCAAAGUGCGAGCCCUCCACUUCCUGCCCCACCACCGUGCGAGCCCUCCAUCUACUUCCUGCCCCACCACCAUACGUGUUCUUGUUGCUAUGCCUCCAUUCCAACAUCACGAGCUUUUAUCUCCGUGUAACCAUAAGCCCAAAUAAAUGCUUCUUCUAU
Molecule: long non-coding RNA, 509 nt
Filed under: Mus musculus (house mouse)
Lineage: Eukaryota; Metazoa; Chordata; Mammalia; Rodentia; Muridae
Description: predicted gene 45350
Source: RNAcentral